This is a non-coding RNA of Agelaius phoeniceus (red-winged blackbird), 861 nucleotides long. NCBI's taxonomy places the organism in Eukaryota, Metazoa, Chordata, Aves, Passeriformes, Icteridae. The record is from RefSeq and is a predicted model, not a curated record.
GACUUUGGAGCCCAAGGAAAAAGGGACUUUGGAGCCCUAAAAAUGGGAUUUGGAUCCUGGGAAGGCGGACCUGGAGUCCUGGGAACAAAGGGAUUUAGGAUCCCACGAAGAGGGAGCUUGGAGCCCAGGAAAAAUGGGAUUUAGGAUCCCGGGAGAAGUGGCCCCAAAAGCUGGGAAAAGAAGGGAUUUGGAUGCCAAGAAGAGGAACAGUGGAUCCCAGGAAGAGAAGGGUGAAGAUCCCUUCACGGAGGAGCCCCAGGACGGCCCCAAAGCCGCGGAAAUCCCGGAAAAAUCCCCGGAAAAUCCCGAAAUUGCCCAGGAUUGCCCCAAAGCCCAGGAAUUCCUGACGGCCCCCGGGCCCCUCCUGGUGCCCCCUUUCCUGGAGGAGCCCGAAAUUCCUGAAAAUCCCCAAAAUCCCCUGGAAAACCCCCUGGAAAAUCCCCAAAAUCCCCAGGAAAAUCCAAAAAAUCCUGAAAAUUCCCAGGAAAAUCCAAAAAAUUCCCAAGAAAAUCCCAAAAAUUCCCAAGAAAAUCCCAAAAAUCCCCAAGAAAAUCCCCCAAAAUCCCAGGAAAAUCCCCAAAAUUCCCAAGAAAAUCCCCAAAAUUCCCAAGAAAAUCCCCAGGAAAAUCCAACAGAAAAAUGCCAGGAAUUGGGGAUUUCACCCCAAACCCAAACUGAGGAGGAAGAAGAGGAGAAAAUUCCGGAAAAAAUUCCAGAAAAAGAGGAAAAAACCCCAAAAAAGGAGGAGGAGAAAACCUCAGAGGAGCCCUGAGAAUUCCAGGUUGAAGAAGCCACAAAAGAGGAGAAAUUCCUGAAUUUUUCCCAUUCUCUGCUGGGAUUUGGGGCAAUUUUUAGGGAAAA